AACGUACAUUUACAAAGUAAAUGACGAGUACGAUACGUUGUCUGACGACGACGUUGUUUAUAUAUCAGUACGGCGCAUGUCGAUGGACGGAAUUUCUAAUUGAAGACCGACCGGAGUGCGUCGUCGUUGCGCUACCCGUUUACUAGACCACGCGUCUUGUUCUCGGGCCUUGUACACACACUGAUGUAAAUGGCAUUUUACGUGCCAGCGCGCUACCCGGUCGAUCAUGGCGUUCUGUCAUGUCGGCGGGCAUGUCAGUGUGUUGCGAAACGCGUUCGUUAUAAACGUCGCGGAAUACAUAACAAUCAUGCUGCGUAUCAUCCGAUGCGUUUCAGCGAAUGCAGAGACUCGCUUAGUCGCGUUCUCUGAGGUGCGCAUUUCGCGUGAGUUUUGCGUUCGGUCGCAUACCCACAUAGUCGAUUUGCCGUACGACAUGAACACGAUUAAUUUGUGUCGCCAAGUACCCGAGGGGAAAAUCGGCACAGGAUAUUGUAAUCAUUACGUGUUGACAUCUGCACGUACGAUUUCUGAGCGAGAUCGUUCGUGCGAAUAGAGGUUUUCGCCGCCGCGAGGCGAGCGUUAACUGGCUCUUGUCCGACGGGAUUCCGCCGAGCGCGGAUCUCGAGCGAUCGUACGCGUCAGUCUCCGGACUGCGCGACUUUCGUUUGCGCGUCGCGGACUUCGAAUUCAAUUCGAACGUCCGCAGCGGACAUUUGCAAUAGAUUCCACAUCCAUAUGUUGGAAACUGAGACCGAGCGUCUCGAGCCCGAGGCGAUUGAGCCGACGGUGUACGAAUUGAAACUGCCAAAUAAUACAUGCUUUUCGUGUUCGAUUCGAUGUCCCGAGGGAUUCGUCCGACUCGAAAGUUGUAUAAACAUUAUAAACACCC
This 889-nucleotide unclassified non-coding RNA is filed under the name Ctenophthalmus sp. F405. RNAcentral's name for it is "sequence contains ITS1". The record is from RNAcentral. RNAcentral also lists the same sequence under 1 other name. Lineage: Eukaryota; Metazoa; Arthropoda; Insecta; Siphonaptera; Ctenophthalmidae.